GAUGAACGCUGGCGGCGUGCUUAACACAUGCAAGUCGAACGGAAAGGCUCCUGCUUGCAGGGGUACUCGAGUGGCGAACGGGUGAGUAACACGUGGGUGAUCUGCCCUGCACUUCGGGAUAAGCCUGGGAAACUGGGUCUAAUACCGGAUAGGACGAUGGUUUGGAUGCCAUUGUGGAAAGUUUUUCGGUGUGGGAUGAGCUCGCGGCCUAUCCGCUUGUUGGUGGGGUAAUGGCCUACCAAGGCGUCGACGGGUAGCCGGCCUGAGAGGGUGUACGGCCACAUUGGGACUGAGAUACGGCCCAGACGCCUACGGGAGGCAGAAGUGGGGAAUAUUGCACAAUGGGCGCAAGCCUGAUGCAGCGACGCCGCGUGGGGGAUGACGGCCUUCGGGUUGUAAACUCCUUUCGCUAGGGACGAAGCGCAAGUGACGGUACCUGGAGAAGAAGCACCGGCUAACUACGUG
Molecule: ribosomal RNA, 465 nt
Filed under: uncultured bacterium
Lineage: Bacteria
Description: partial 16S ribosomal RNA
Rfam family: Bacterial small subunit ribosomal RNA
Source: RNAcentral